This 460-nucleotide ribosomal RNA is filed under the name uncultured bacterium. RNAcentral describes it as "partial 16S ribosomal RNA". It matches the Rfam family "Bacterial small subunit ribosomal RNA", at positions 338 to 795 of the family's 1533-position model. The record is from RNAcentral.
CCUACGGGAGACUGCAGUGAGGAAUAUUGGGCAAUGGGCGUAAGCCUGAACCAGCCAAGCCGCGUGAGGGAUGAAGGUUCUAUGGAUCGUAAACCUCUUUUAUAAGGGAAUAAAGUGCGGGACGUGUUCAGUAGUGUAUGUACCUUAUGAAUAAAGAACGGCUAACUCCGUGCCAGCAGCCGCGGUAAUACGGAGGAUCCGAGCUUUAUCCGGAUUUAUUGGGUUUAAAGGGUGCGUAGGCGGCCUGUUAAGUCAGCGGUGAAAGUCCGUGGCUCAACCAGAGAAUUGCCUUUGAAACUGGCAGGCUUGAGUGUGUUAGAGGCAGGUGGAAUUCGUGGUGUAGCAGUGAAAUCCGUAGAUAUCUCGCGGAACAUCGAUUGCGAAGGCGGCCUUCCAGGCCAUAACUGACGCUGAUGCGCGAAAGCGUGGGUAGCAAACAGGAUUAGAUACCCUUGUAGUC